UACGGAGGGCGCAAGCGUUACUCGGAAUCACUGGGCGUAAAGAGCGUGUAGGCGGGUUUGUAAGUUGGGAGUGAAAUCCUAUGGCUCAACCAUAGAACUGCUUCCAAAACUGCUUACCUAGAAUGAGGGAGAGGUAGAUGGAAUUUCUGGUGUAGGGGUAAAAUCCGUAGAGAUCAGAAGGAAUACCGAUUGCGAAGGCGAUCUACUGGAACUUUAUUGACGCUGAGACGCGAAAAGCGUGGGGAGCAAACAGGAUUAGAUACCCGCGUAGU
RNAcentral lists this ribosomal RNA (272 nucleotides) under uncultured bacterium. RNAcentral's name for it is "partial 16S ribosomal RNA". It matches the Rfam family "Bacterial small subunit ribosomal RNA", at positions 524 to 794 of the family's 1533-position model. The record is from RNAcentral.